GUCCUGUGAUGACCUGUGGCGGAAGGUAAACCGAAGGUGACUGCGGUUAACGUCCUCGAUGGGAAUGGCCACCUUCAAGAAUUGAAAAAGAAGUUUAAGCACUGUUAUCAAUAUCAUCCAGCGUAACAGCUUUAUUCAACUGGAGCUAUCAGAGAAAUAUGCAACUGCGAAGUUCUCAUGGGAGAAGUCCUGAGCACACUGCAAGGCAUCCUGGGACCACAGUCUCAAGGGUCACAGAGGAAGGGACUUCGGGGCUGAGACCUGCAGGAAGUGAGGGAACUGCAGGCCUGUCCUCACCCAGGGGAGGUGGAGCCCCCAGACGCUGUGAUAUGAAAUUCCAGAUUAUGGGAGGGAGAGUUUGAAGAAGGAAGAACCACCAAUAGAAAGCGGUCCCCAAAGAGGUAUCGGGGAUGGCACCCAGACAGGAGCACAUGUACCACUGCCCAGAAUGUGCGUUUCACUAGACAAGUGACCACAAAACGCGGAGCACAGAGGACUUUUAGGAUGGUGAAGCUACCCAGUGAGAGACUACAAUGAGAUAAUUGGUCUUUCACAUUCCUCGUGCUGUCACCAAAAAUAACAGAGCAACAGCAGGGUGGAGGAAGAGCACCAGCACGGUGGAGGAAGAGCACCAACGUGGAGAUAAAGAGCACCAACAUGGCGGAGGAAGAGCACCAACAUGGCGGAGGAAGAGCACCAACAUGGCAGAGGAAGAGCACCAACAUGACGGAGAAAGAGCACCAACAUGGCAGAGGAAAAGCACCAACAUGGCGGAGGAAGAACACCAACAUGGCGGAGAAACAGCACCAACAUGGCGGAUGAAGAGCACCAACAUGAAGCUAA
This 843-nucleotide non-coding RNA is filed under the name Pan troglodytes (chimpanzee). The record is from RNAcentral. Lineage: Eukaryota; Metazoa; Chordata; Mammalia; Primates; Hominidae.